Molecule: long non-coding RNA, 121 nt
Organism: Amblyraja radiata (thorny skate)
Lineage: Eukaryota; Metazoa; Chordata; Chondrichthyes; Rajiformes; Rajidae
Exons: 3
Source: RefSeq, a predicted model, not a curated record
GUGGCACCACCAGCAGAGGCUGCCCGCCAACAGCCUGUCCUUUCUUCUUUUUGUUAUUUUUAGUAUGUGUUACAAAGUGUGUUUUAAUGUUCCUUGUUUAAGAAAGAACUGCAGAUGCUGG